This is a long non-coding RNA of Octopus sinensis (East Asian common octopus), 139 nucleotides long. RefSeq lists it as uncharacterized. The transcript has 3 exons. Lineage: Eukaryota; Metazoa; Mollusca; Cephalopoda; Octopoda; Octopodidae. The record is from RefSeq and is a predicted model, not a curated record.
AUAUAUAUAUAUAUAUAUAUAUAUAUAUAUAUAUAUAUUACGGAGAUGCACUUGCAUAGCUAGUGACUUGAUCGGAGAUCGUGUGCUGAAACAAAAACAAUUGCAGCAUGGAAGAUGUUUGUAAGCCAUUUAAGCACAC